Molecule: long non-coding RNA, 2042 nt
Filed under: Sparus aurata (gilthead seabream)
Lineage: Eukaryota; Metazoa; Chordata; Actinopteri; Spariformes; Sparidae
Description: lncRNA (ENSSAUG00010003711.1)
Source: RNAcentral
GUAACAAUUCAACAGGUUGCCAGUUCCUAGAUAAUUUACCUUUAAUAUUGUGUAAUGAACAUUUCUGCAAGAGAAGUUUGUCAUUUAUGAAUCAUUAGAAUAUUAAAUGUUGUAUCAAACAGCAGCUUUUGUUGUCAGAAGCACUGAGGUCGUCCCAAUGAAAAGAGAUUAUUUCAUAACAAGAAAAGUUUAAAUAACUCUGAUAAUGUUGCUCAGGAUGAUACGACAUUAUCACAGUAAAAUAUGAAGACAGAACUUUUGUUGUUUAGCUGUGAGGAGUUUUUGUCUGCAGGCAGAAACCCUGAGCUGCCUCCUCCUGCAGCUGUCAGAGGUUUUUGUACGAGGGUUUUUCACCGUGAUGGGGUGGACCACAGUGACUGAGCCUCCGCACAGAGCUGAACAAAAACCUCCAGUCUCCUCUAAACCGUCUGUUUCAGUCAGGAAACAUCCAGAAUCAACAAAUAACCAGCAGAACACAGCUGUGUUUCAGCUCAGUGUCUGUCGACGUAAAGUGGAUUUUAAUCAUUUUUGAGCUUCUCUGAUGAAAAUGAGCAUCGUGAGGUUUUUGUAUGGGGAUGUAACACUGUGAUGCUUUAAUAUUUGGGAAAGCCACCAGACUCACCGUCAUACCUAAAGAUACGACUCCUGUUGCUCCGACCCUGUUCGUCCUGAGUCCUCUUCACCCAGAGGGGGUGCCGUUGAGCGAGCUGGCUGACGAGGUCUGCCUGGCCACUAAUUUCCGUCCACAGGGAGAGGACAUGGUUCUGAAUGUGCGUAAGAAGCGUCAGAUUAAUUAUAACACCAGCAACGCCGUCAUCUCCGAGGAAGAGAAGGGCUACUACUACGCUGGAUUCGCCAACGAGACGAUCUACUCCUGUGAGCUCAACGGCACGUCAUCCAACAACGAGAACAUCGACCUCUGCGCUGACCUCCAUCCAGAGAAAGCCAAGCUGAACCUGUACCUGCUGCUGAUGAACGGGGUGCGGGUGGUGUUCACCAAAGUUCUGGCCUUCAGCACCAUCUUCACCAUCCGAGCCGUGCUCCCGUAGACGUGUUUGUCCUUCACAGGCUCCCGUAGACGUGUUUGUCCUUCACAGGCUCCCGUAGACGUGUUUGUUCUUCACAGGCUCCUGUAGAAACCUGCCUGCACACCUGAAAACAACAUAGAGCAUCAUGGAGGCGCAGAGCUGUUUCAGUGUGUUGUCAUAUAAUCUGCUUUCUACUGUAUAAUAUCUGCUGCCAAAUAUACUGAAUAUCUUCUGUCAGUUUUUUUUUUUAUUUGAAAAUGUAUCUGAGUGUUUCUGUGACUCGUGUUUCUCGACUGAUCGAUCUGACGUCAGUGUGACGGCGUUAACUUUGUGCCUGUUCUGCUUCUAAUAAAGUUCAGCAGCUCUGAUUCAGUUUCAGUCUUCAGUCUGUGAUUUCUGUGAGUUUGUGAGUUUGUGAGCAGGACGGUGAAGCAGCUGACGUCUGGUUCUUAACUGCCAUCAUGAUUAAAUCACUGAAACUGAAACUGUGACAAACAGCAAGAAAAGUCACAAGAUUGAAAUUAAGUGCAUCAAAAUCAAUAAAUCAACAAAAUGGAAUGAUGUAUAAGUAUUUCUCCAGGUCAGGUUUUGUUUCGCUGCCACACUUUAUUUUCAUUUUAUUUCAUUUGAUCUAUUUUUUUAAUUCGAUACAAGCAAACACAAAUUGUUACGUGACUGUUUAAUGACAGAAUUAAAUCUUCACAACAAAAACAGAAGAAACAACAAAGUGUGUCAAAGAAGGAAACAACUUAAAAUACAUCAAAUCAAAUGUGCAAAUGUUUCAUCCAGAAUUUCAACAUAAUGUUUGUUUGUGAAUUUAAAAUGUCGACUGAGCGGAUAGAGACACGUGUGUGUGUGUGUGUGUGUGUGUGUGUGUGUGUGAGUGUUUGUGUGUGUGUGUGUGCGUGUGCAGCAGUUCACAGUUGAAACCACAGUUCAACAGUCGGAGCUGAAGCUGCAGAUACGAUCAGACAGGAAGCAGCUCUGUGUCUCACUGCUGGCUUAAAGUUUUAC